AGUCGGGGGCGCUGUGGCUGGCGGUCGGCGCGCUGAACCCGCGCUGCCAGAGGCUGCUGCGGGUCGUCGCGUUCGACGAGAGACCCGACUAC
This 92-nucleotide transfer RNA is filed under the name Microbacterium azadirachtae. Its description in RNAcentral is "tRNA-Phe". The record is from RNAcentral. Lineage: Bacteria; Bacillati; Actinomycetota; Actinomycetes; Micrococcales; Microbacteriaceae.